GAUGAACGCUGGCGGCGUGCCUAAUACAUGCAAGUUGAGCGCUAAAGCUUCUUCCUUCUGGCGACUGGCUGAGCCGCGCAGGGGAGAAUAACGCGUGGGGUAUCUCCUUUUGAGCGGGGGACACCUUUUGGACACGGAUGCAUAUCGCGCAUGACAAUUUUUUACACGCGAUUUUAGAUUGAUAGAUCCGAUUGGAUUACUCACAGAUCCUCUCGCGUUGUAUUAGCUAGUGGGUGAGGCCAAGGCUCACCCAGGCGAGGAUACAUAGCCGACCUGAGAGGGUGAUCGGCCACAUUGGGACGGAGACACGGCCCAAACGCCUACAGGAGGCAGCAGUAGGGAAUCGUCGGCAAUGGACGAAAGUCUGACCGAGCAACGCCGCGGGAGUGAAGAAGGUUGUCGGAUCGUAAAACUCUGUUGGUAGAGAAGAACGUUGGUGAGAGUGGAAAGCUCAUCAAGUGACGGUAACUACCCAGAAAGGGACGGCUAACUACGUG
RNAcentral lists this ribosomal RNA (497 nucleotides) under uncultured bacterium. RNAcentral's name for it is "partial 16S ribosomal RNA". It matches the Rfam family "Bacterial small subunit ribosomal RNA", at positions 28 to 507 of the family's 1533-position model. The record is from RNAcentral.